AUUGAACGCUGGCGGCAGGCUUAACACAUGCAAGUCGAGCGGGGAAGGGUAGCUUGCUACCUAACCUAGCGGCGGACGGGUGAGUAAUGCUUAGGAAUCUGCCUAUUAGUGGGGGACAACAUUCCGAAAGGAAUGCUAAUACCGCAUACGCCCUACGGGGGAAAGCAGGGGAUCUUCGGACCUUGCGCUAAUAGAUGAGCCUAAGUCAGAUUAGCUAGUUGGUGGGGUAAAGGCCUACCAAGGCGACGAUCUGUAGCGGUUCUGAGAGGAUGAUCCGCCGCACUGGGACUGAGACACGGCCCAGACUCCUACGGGAGGCAGCAGUGGUGAAUAUUGGACAAUGGGGGGAACCCUGAUCCAGCCAUGCCGCGUGUGUGAAGAAGGCCUUUUGGUUGUAAAGCACUUUAAGCGAGGAGGAGGCUUACCUGGUUAAUACCUGGGCUAAGUGACGUUACUCGCAGAAUAAGCACCGGCUAACUCUGUGCCAGCCGCAGCAGUAA
Molecule: ribosomal RNA, 500 nt
Filed under: uncultured bacterium
Lineage: Bacteria
Description: partial 16S ribosomal RNA
Rfam family: Bacterial small subunit ribosomal RNA
Source: RNAcentral